This is a long non-coding RNA of Drosophila grimshawi, 529 nucleotides long. RefSeq lists it as uncharacterized. The record is from RefSeq and is a predicted model, not a curated record. The transcript has 2 exons. NCBI's taxonomy places the organism in Eukaryota, Metazoa, Arthropoda, Insecta, Diptera, Drosophilidae.
UCGUAGCAGAUUUAUUAUUAUUCAUUGCCAUUGUUUUUAGGACACAUGUGAUUUGCCAGAUGUUUGCCAACUACACUGAACUUAAUGAAAAUGGCUAUUGCAUAAAUUGUUAUUUGCCCGAGUGUGUGAUUAACGCGACUGGAUACAGCGCUCACCUGGAAUUGGAGGCAAAUGUAACAGUGUCUAAUGAUGCAAGUGAAGCAAAUGAUUUCGCUGCAUGCGUACCAGAUCCAUAUCGUAUAUAUGAUAAACUAACGGCCUACAUUUGUUUUUGGUCCACAGGGAUGGGAUGUCAGGCAGUCGCUGCUAAUCAUUAUAAGCUCAUUUCCUAUAUAGAGGAAGGCAUCUGUUCGCAGUGUUACCUGAAUUGUCCCUGUACUUGGGAUAUUCCAUCAUCUGCCAUCUGUCCUAAUAGACUUGAUAGACAUUUUAGGCUUAUCAAAACAUGUUUGACCACAAUAGCAAUGUACUGCUUAAGCACCUAGAACAGAUCAUCAUAAUAAAAUAUUUUAAUUUAUUUGAAAUAAAA